GGCGACCGGCGCACGGGUGAGUAACACGUAUCCAACCUGCCGAUAACUCUGGGAUAGCCUUUCGAAAGAAAGAUUAAUACCGGAUGGCAUAGUUUUCCCGCAUGGAAAAACUAUUAAAGAAUUUCGGUUAUCGAUGGGGAUGCGUUCCAUUAGGCAGUUGGCGGGGUAACGGCCCACCAAACCGACGAUGGAUAGGGGUUCUGAGAGGAAGGUCCCCCACAUUGGAACUGAGACACGGUCCAAACUCCUACGGGAGGCAGCAGUGAGGAAUAUUGGUCAAUGGACGAGAGUCUGAACCAGCCAAGUAGCGUGAAGGAUGACUGCCCUAUGGGUUGUAAACUUCUUUUAUAUGGGAAUAAAGUUAGCCACGUGUGGUUUUUUGCAUGUACCGUAUGAAUAAGGAUCGGCUAACUCCGUGCCAGCAGCCGCGGUAAUACGGAGGAUCCGAGCGUUAUCCGGAUUUAUUGGGUUUAAAGGGAGCGUAGGCGGGGUAUUAAGUCAGUUGUGAAAGUUUGCGGCUCAACCAUAAAAUUGCAGUUGAUACUGGUAUCCUUGAGUGCAGCAGAGGUGGGCGGAAUUCGUGGUGUAGCGGUGAAAUGCUUAGAUAUCACGAAGAACUCCGAUUGCGAAGGCAGCUCACUGGAGUGUAACUGACGCUGAUGCUCGAAAGUGUGGGUAUCA
RNAcentral lists this ribosomal RNA (681 nucleotides) under uncultured Bacteroidales bacterium. RNAcentral describes it as "bacterial SSU rRNA". It matches the Rfam family "Bacterial small subunit ribosomal RNA", at positions 90 to 770 of the family's 1533-position model. Lineage: Bacteria; Pseudomonadati; Bacteroidota; Bacteroidia; Bacteroidales. The record is from RNAcentral.